Molecule: unclassified non-coding RNA, 465 nt
Filed under: Hevea brasiliensis (rubber tree)
Lineage: Eukaryota; Viridiplantae; Streptophyta; Magnoliopsida; Malpighiales; Euphorbiaceae
Source: RNAcentral
GCCAGACUCAAAUACAAUGCAAAUGAAUAAAUUGGUUGAACCUAGAAUUGAGCCAAGUAACAGAAACAAUAGCAAGUAACCAGCACACAACUAACCAUUUUGCCAAAGCACUGGUUGAAAAUAUUUAGUUUGAGAACCUGUUCACAUUCACACUACCCAGUAUCCAGUAUAAUGAAGAGAGAUGAAAAUUUAUGAACCUAUACUAUUUCAUCUCAAAAGUACAAAAACAUAAUGCAUCAACAAGAAAACAAAGAGAACACAUAAUGAGCAGUUGCAUUUGCCCCUUUAACAGUCAAAAUGUUCAUAAUGACCCGAUUAUUGUAUAGCAAUGAUCAGGUUCCUACCCUAAUAGUCCCAAUUUUCCGGCCCAGCUUCUUGUUCAAUAGCUAUCUAAACGAAUUACAACCCAACCUCACCUUCCAGCUCCAAUUGCUCUGCUGCAGCCUCCUCCUCAGCAUCAUCGAU